This is a long non-coding RNA of Conger conger (European conger), 1139 nucleotides long. RefSeq lists it as uncharacterized. The transcript is spliced from 3 exons. The record is from RefSeq and is a predicted model, not a curated record. NCBI's taxonomy places the organism in Eukaryota, Metazoa, Chordata, Actinopteri, Anguilliformes, Congridae.
GGGGAAAGUCGGCAGAAACUAUUGGAAAUGACAGAAGCGGUCGGCUACACGUCUUUAAUAAGCACAGAAUGUGACGCAAGUUUGCUUUCUCCCUCAGAAGAGGAGUCAUACAUGCCUAUGAAGCGUUGCCGACUCCAUCUAUGUGUAAGGUAUAUUUCCCUGGCGUCUGACAUCCUCCAAACCCUUUCGCCAAAAUGCCCUGAAUUUCAUCCCCUUUCCGUCUUCCAUCUCUCACACUGCAUUGCUCAGGCUUCAUGCUUUCUCCCACAGUGAAAACAUAUUGGCUGGUCUUUUCUUUUUUUGCACUCCUCAGAACUAGAAGGGAAAGAACUCAGUCUUUCCCUUCUACAUCUGUGAACCAUUUUCCUGCUGCCACAUGCCCAUAGUUCCGACACCAAUAACACCUCAGUGGAAUCCUCUGAAGUUUUCUGUCUUUUUUCCCAUGUCUUGUAGAAACAUCACAACCAUAGGUAGACUAUGAAUGUUAUCAAAGUAUCUCUGGCUGUUUUCAUUUGGUUUUUCUGAAGCUUGCCAAAAAAGAUGGUGUUUUGAGGAACCAGAGCGGCUUUCUCUGGUGUGUAAAUGUACUUUUAGAAUGAAGAUUUAUUUGUAAUUUUGAUUGUAACUUGGAAUGCAAUUCAUGACUUUUUUAUUUGAUGUCAUUCGUUUGUAGCAGGGAGCUUGUAUGUAUAUACAGAGGCUUCAGAAAGUAUUCUGAUCUCUUGAGUUUUUUUGUUGUAGAUUUAAUUUUAAAUGGAUAAAAUUGGCAUUUUUGCCAAUCAAUCUACACUCAAUAACUCAUAAUAACAAAGUAAAAACUGUGCAAAGUGCAAAUUUAUUACAAAUCAUUUAUGUAAGUAUUCAGAUCGAUAAUUCAGUACUUAGAAAAAGGCCCUUUGGCAGCAAUUACAGCUUCAAGUCUUCUUUGGCAAGUCUCUACAAGCUUUGCACACCUGAAUGUGGGCAGUUUAUCCCAUUCUUCCUGGCAUGAUUUGGGUCACCGCUUCGUCACGGAAGUUAGCCUGCUUAUGUUACUAGUGGAUGCGUCUAGGUGACAGUGUUACGUUUAAUUUAGAUAUUACAAAUAACAAAACGCAUAACGUUACUAUUAAGCGUAGGCUAUGAUAUUUGGUGUACCA